This is a long non-coding RNA of Wasmannia auropunctata (little fire ant), 290 nucleotides long. RefSeq lists it as uncharacterized. The transcript is spliced from 3 exons. The record is from RefSeq and is a predicted model, not a curated record. NCBI's taxonomy places the organism in Eukaryota, Metazoa, Arthropoda, Insecta, Hymenoptera, Formicidae.
CUCUAAACGAAGAUCUCUCUUGAGCGAACAGUUAGUUAGUUCUGUGUCGUCUUUCGUAGCGAAUACACCUCGCUUUAUAAUUGUCCAGAAUAAAGUAUUUCAAAUGAAACUUCGCUGGUCUCCCUGCGCCUUUUGGACGAAGGUGCGAGAGUACAAGAAGCUAUAUACGGUCACAACUAUACCCUGCGUGCCGAGAUUUCACGCCCAGACGGAAUGUACGGGAUUCGAGUUAAGAACUGCUUCGCGUUCAACAAGCUCAAUUCCAGCGUGCAGCUUAUAGAUGACAAGGG